RNAcentral lists this ribosomal RNA (253 nucleotides) under uncultured bacterium. RNAcentral describes it as "partial 16S ribosomal RNA". It matches the Rfam family "Bacterial small subunit ribosomal RNA", at positions 524 to 776 of the family's 1533-position model. The record is from RNAcentral.
UACAGAGGUGGCAAGCGUUGUUCGGAAUUACUGGGCGUAAAGGGCGCGUAGGCGGUUCGAUAAGUCCCGUGUGAAAGCCCCCGGCUCAACUGGGGAACUGCACGGGAAACUGACGGACUUGAGUUCGGGAGAGGGGAGCGGAAUUCCGGGUGUAGCGGUGAAAUGCGUAGAUAUCCGGAGGAACACCGGUGGCGAAGGCGGCUUCCUGGACCGACACUGACGCUGAGGAGCGAAAGCCAGGGGAGCAAACGGG